RNAcentral lists this ribosomal RNA (498 nucleotides) under uncultured bacterium. RNAcentral's name for it is "partial 16S ribosomal RNA". It matches the Rfam family "Bacterial small subunit ribosomal RNA", at positions 29 to 523 of the family's 1533-position model. The record is from RNAcentral.
AUUGAACGCUGGCGGCAUGCCUUACACAUGCAAGUCGAACGGUAACAGGUCUUCGGAUGCUGACGAGUGGCGAACGGGUGAGUAAUACAUCGGAACGUGCCUAGUAGUGGGGGAUAACUACUCGAAAGAGUGGCUAAUACCGCAUGAGAUCUACGGAUGAAAGCAGGGGAUCGCAAGACCUUGUGCUACUAGAGCGGCCGAUGGCAGAUUAGGUAGUUGGUGGGAUAAAAGCGUACCAAGCCGACGAUCUGUAGCUGGUCCGAGAGGACGAUCAGCCACACUGGGACGGAGACCGGGACCGGACUCAUACGGGAGGCGGCAGUGGGGAAGUUUGGGCAAUGGGCGAAAGCCUGAGCCAGCAAGGCGGCGUGCAGGAUGAAGGCGUUCGGGUUGUAAACUGCUUUCGUACGGAACGAAAAGCCCCGGGUUAAUACCCUGGGGUCAUGACGGUACCGUAAGAAUAAGCACCGGCUAACUACGUGCCAGCCGCCGCCGUAA